This 474-nucleotide ribosomal RNA is filed under the name uncultured bacterium. RNAcentral's name for it is "SSU rRNA". It matches the Rfam family "Bacterial small subunit ribosomal RNA", at positions 26 to 518 of the family's 1533-position model. The record is from RNAcentral.
AGGACGAACGCUGGCGGCGUGCUUAACACAUGCAAGUCGAGCGGAAAGGCCCUUCGGGGUACUCGAGCGGCGAACGGGUGAGUAACACGUGAGCAACCUGCCCUUAGCUCUGGGAUAGCUCCGGGAAACCGGAAUUAAUACCGGAUAUGACCUAGGCCGACAUCGGCCGUGGUGGAAAAUUUUUCGGCUAGGGAUGGACUCGCGGCCUAUCAGCUAGUUGGUGGGGUAAUGGCCUACCAAGGCGACGACGGGUAGCCGGCCUGAGAGGGCGACCGGCCACACUGGGACUGAGACACGGCCCAGACUCCUACGGGAGGCAGCAGUGGGGAAUCUUGCGCAAUGGGCGAAAGCCUGACGCAGCGACGCCGCGUGGGGGAUGAAGGCCUUCGGGUUGUAAACCCCUUUCAGCAGGGACGAAGCGAAAGUGACGGUACCUGCAGAAGAAGCGCCGGCUAACUACGCGCCAGCAGCCGC